UUUACAACACCGGAUUCCGGACGACCACCGAAGUUAAGCAACGUCAAGUCUGGUCAGUACCUAGAUGAAUGACCGCUUGAGAAUACCAGGUGCUGUAA
This is a non-coding RNA of Acanthosepion pharaonis, 98 nucleotides long. NCBI's taxonomy places the organism in Eukaryota, Metazoa, Mollusca, Cephalopoda, Sepiida, Sepiidae. The record is from the annotation of a GenBank genome assembly.